Molecule: ribosomal RNA, 326 nt
Filed under: uncultured bacterium
Lineage: Bacteria
Description: bacterial SSU rRNA
Rfam family: Bacterial small subunit ribosomal RNA
Source: RNAcentral
UGGCUGCAUGGUCAGUGCAAUAAGUUGAGGCGCUUGGAGAGUAGGCGUGCGUCUGAUUAGGUAGUUGGUAGGGUAACGGCCUACCAAGCCGACGAUCAGGUAGGGGGCGUGAGAGCGUGGCCCCCCACACGGGUACUGAGACACGGACCCGACUCCUACGGGAGGCAGCAGUAAGGAAUAUUGGACAAUGGACGAAAGUCUGAUCCAGCCAUCCCGCGUGCAGGAUGAAUGCCCUAUGGGUUGUAAACUGCUUUUGGAAGGGAAGAAACGCCUGGAUUUAUCCGGGCCUGACGGUACCUUCAGAAUAAGCACCGGCUAACUCCGUG